RNAcentral lists this long non-coding RNA (554 nucleotides) under Olea europaea (common olive). Its description in RNAcentral is "long non-coding RNA (OEUR_LNC012460)". The record is from RNAcentral. Lineage: Eukaryota; Viridiplantae; Streptophyta; Magnoliopsida; Lamiales; Oleaceae.
AAUAAUAAUAAUAAUAAUAAUAAUAAUAAUAAUAAUAAUAAUAAUAAUAAUAAUCAUUCCAAGAACUUAAAAAAAAAAAUAGAAAAAUUCAUAAAAUAAGGAACAGGUUGUUUUACCUGUUUCUGAAGACGAAUGAUCUGAAAGUGGAGGGUAACCUCGUUGGAGACUUCAGAGAAGCACGUGACUUGCACACCACAAUCACCUUGAGAACUCAGCUCAUUCAUACUCAGCUGCUUUAUACUUCGAGUUGCAGUUUCAACGCCAUUACUGAAUGCUUCUUUCGAAUCAUUAGGACCCAUAUCAAGAUUUUUCUGUUUCUCGCCAAAACUUACUGAAAAUCGCUUAUUUUUCUUCGGCUUCAAAGAUUUUUGAAUUUUCUUCUCUUUUAUGUCAUUUCACUCUCUGAAAUUUUCUUUCCAGCCCAUAAUUUAGAGUUUCGAGCCCAAAAUAAAUUGACAUAAAUAGCACUAUAUGAGACGUAAAAAGAAUUGCAACACAUAUUUCUGAGAAUUCAAUUGUAGCAGCAUAUUCGAUCUAGUUCGUGCAGAGACGAA